AUGGGUCUCCUCCCUGUGCCACAGGGCACCUGUGCUCCCUCCUGCACCCUCUGCUCUGCCCACCUGGCCACCACCCACUUGGCAUCCCUCUCCCCAGGCUCCAGCAGCUCCUGCGGUCUCCCAUUCUGCAGGUGCGGCCGGGAACUUCCUGUGCCCCGCUGGCGCCUUGUCCUUCAACGCCUUCAAGACCGUGAUGGACAUCGACACCAGCGGCACCUUCAACGUGUCUCGUGUGCUCUAUGAGAAGUUCUUCGACCAUGGAGGGGUGAUCGUGAACAUCACUGCCACCCUGGGGAACCGGGGGCAGGCGCUCCAGGUGCAUGCAGGCUCCGCCAAGGCCGCUGUGGGUAUGACCACCCCCCCCCGCCCAGGUUUGCCCACGUGGGUCCCCAGUGGGCCGUCUGCUUCCAUCCCAGGAGGCCAGCAGUCUCCACGUGAGGCUGAGCCCAGCUGCAGGCAGCGAGUCCUGGCCUUGGCCCCGCGCCCUCGCAGAGGGCAGAGCGGCCCCUUCAUAUCCAACUUUCUUCUGUGCAGACGCGAUGACGCGGCACUUGGCUGUGGAGUGGGGUCCCCAAAACAUCCGCGUCAACAGCCUCGCCCCCGGCCCCAUCAG
Molecule: small RNA, 613 nt
Filed under: Pan troglodytes (chimpanzee)
Lineage: Eukaryota; Metazoa; Chordata; Mammalia; Primates; Hominidae
Description: retained intron
Source: RNAcentral